GGUUUUCCAGUCAUUGAAUGAACGAAAACAGUGAGAACACAGACGAAACAAUGAAGUCAAUGAAGGAGCUACUAAAUGCAGACCACUAAAUGCAUCCUGCACUCCCAGAAAGAGGAGGAGGAGGAGGAUCCCAAUAAAGGCAAAUCUUGGACCUGGCUAACGAAGGCAUGGGCCAGAUCAAACUGGCAGAGUUGUGUAACAACUGUUACAAACAACGAUCUUAAAACAUCGUUUAUGCUCAUCACUACUUGGAAAUUAUUUUACUUAUUGGACACGCCACCAGAUCGAACUGAUAAAGGCUGGCUCUGUUAUAGGAGUCAAACUGGACAUACUGGAGUCUGUGGAAGAACAAAAGGGUCCUUCGGAAAAUCCUGGCAAAUCUGGACAAAGUUUCUCACCCUCUGCCUGCCACCUUGGCUGAACAGAGGAGUAUUUUCAGUAAUAGACUUAUACAACUGCGCUACUGAAGAGUGCUAUAUGAGGUAAUUCUUACACUCCGCCAUCAUACUUUAUAAUGAGUCAACCUAUAGCUUAGGCUGCUGUUAAUCUCUGUUUACCAGAGUGCUGUUAAAAGGCUGUUCAGCUCUGUUUACCACAUCCUGCCAUCGCGGACACCCUGUGCUACCAGACUACCAUCAGUUCUUAUCUGGACGGUGUGAAUGUGCUCCCAUUACUGUAUAAUACUGCAGUAAUUAGUGCACUACUAGCUUAUCAGUGUAAACUUGGAAAUCUUGUACAUCCUAUUUUGAAGGUAGCUUUUUUUUUUAUUCUUCCUUUACUUCUCUUCUAAUAUUUGUAUACUUGUGCAUUUGUAAUGCUCCUGUGACACCGUAAUUCCCUUUGGGACCAAUGAAGUACCUAUCUAUCAAAUGUGAUCACAGUCUUCCUGUCUGCAGAUGCUCGUGCGUAGUAACAGACCAACUAUUGGGCAGCCCUACGCCUAGCAGUCAUUCAGUCACCAAAAGGCGAAGUUGUGUGUUCAUACAUUUGUGACCCAGACAUCUAUUUUCUCUCCAUUAUCGCCUAUCUACAAUUGCUUGUUGAUCAGUACGUAGAAGAUGGCAUCACAAAUGAUAUUUUAAUAUAUUUUGUUAACUAUUUCAAUAUAAUUGUUAAAUGUUGUAAUCCUAUGUAUUUUGUUUAAAUAUGUAUUCUGAGAAGGGGGUCACAGGCUUCACUGGACUGCCGAAGGAGUCAAUAGCAUAUAAAAGGUUAAGAAUCCCUUUUUACACCCAAUUUAUCAGAUGGUUGAUGUAACUUUUAGAGUUUACUAGUGCAUUCUGUUGAGAUUUCCACCAUUUAUUGAAUUAUAGCAGAUAAUAGAUAUUGAUAGCAGAUAGAUGGGGAAUUCAUCUUUGUAGCAACACAGUACAAAAGGCAAAUAUCAAGGUUUAGAAGUGCGUAACAAGAGAGGCUUUUGAAAAGGAGUAAGGUCACUUGAACUGCAGGAAUACUGCAAGAUCCAAGUGAUAAUGCACCUGGAGUACUGUCUGAAAUCCUGAGCUAAACAAGGAUAUAUUUGCAAUGAAAGGAAUGCAGAAAAGGUUUACCAGGUUGAUAUAUUACAAAGGAGAUUUACAAUAAACCACACUAUACUUAUGCAAAAUGAUAGAAGACCGGAGGGGGUGGG
This is a long non-coding RNA of Hypanus sabinus (Atlantic stingray), 1630 nucleotides long. RefSeq lists it as uncharacterized. NCBI's taxonomy places the organism in Eukaryota, Metazoa, Chordata, Chondrichthyes, Myliobatiformes, Dasyatidae. The transcript has 3 exons. The record is from RefSeq and is a predicted model, not a curated record.